AUCUCAGUAAAAGGGCGAGAAUACAAAUCAAAUCAAAAACCCUAAUCUGAAAAAGAGGUGGAGAAUGUCGAUUUCAAAAUUCGUAGUUAAUUAUCACAAAAAAGAUGAUGAGGAUCAUGGUUAUGGCUAUAAUUUAAUGAAGAAGAUGAAGAAUCAGAAGAUCGAGGAAAAAGUUGAAGCAAGGAGCAAUCUGAAGAAGAAGACGAAGACCGAAAAAAAAGAAGCAAAAGAUGAAGUUGAAAUGAUCCAAAUAUCUCUUCCAAUUGAAAUGAUUCUAGAGUUUCUAUCAAGACUACCAGUUAAAUCUCUGACGAGAUUAAGCUGCGCAAGUAAGUACCUGUACAAUUACAUCAAUCAAAAUCCACAAUUUACUAAAUCUCACUUUAUUAAUUAUUCCCAAAAGAAUCCCACCCUUGUGUUUUACACCAAUUAUGUUACUGGAAAACAACAAUGUCUGUUCAAAAGCUUGUUACAUACCAGAGAUAUUCAGGAUGACGAAAACGAUAACCAGGAUGUCCAAUUGUAUCAAAAAACUAUACAGCAAAAGAAAGGGGAAUUUGUUGGAUAUUGCAAUGGUUUAAGUUGUUUUAGAAACACUAUUACGGAACUUGCUUUCUUCAUUGAUGUUUGGAACGAUACUACACAAGAAGUUUUGCGGAUAAUCCCUCCUCCUGUUAUACAACACAGCAAAGGAGGAGGUAUAGGAGGAGGAGGAAUUUAUAAGCUCUUGUCUUGUGGAUUUGGGUUCGAUUCUGUUAACAAUGAGUAUAAAUUGGUAAUUAUUGUUUUCAUGUUUGAAACUAAGUCCCCUAAGUGUUUCGUUUUUACUUUUGGAAUCAAAUCUUCAUGGACAGAAGUUAGGUCUCCUAAUAUCGGAUUACUACGAACAUGUGCUUCAGCCGUAUUCACUUCUUAUGGAGCCGCAGGAGCAGGAGCUUUGUUUUGGUGGACCACUGAUCCGCAGAUUAUUCUCUUGUUUGACCUCCAUGAAGAGAAGUUGCAAUACAUCCGAAUCCCACUUGAAUACAACACACAUACUCGGUGGUUUGAGUAUGAAGGAUUCUUAGUUAUUGCCCGUCUUGAAAAGAAAUCACCAACGUCGCUUACUUUGGGAAAGGUUCACUUGAAAGUAUUGAAGGCUUACAAAGAUGACCAGGUUUGGGCUCACGAGACCAUUGAUCUUUCGGCGUAUUCAAUUCCUUUCAAUAACAAUUUUCGGUUCGUCAGCUUCUCCGACCAGAUAUUACUGUACUGGGCGGAUGCCAAAAAUUUUCAUUUCUUCAAUCUGCAAAGGAGAUGUCUCAAGGUGGUUAGGAACCUAGAUUCAUGCAUCUCUGAUAAGGUAUUACCCACAGUUGUUAGACCCAAUGACUACUGGCUGAAUUGUGAGGUUGAAAACAUCUGUACUUUGAAAACCUUGUUGCCUGUACGAGCUCAAAUAUCUGAUCGUGCUGCUUUAAAUUCGAUGAUGAUGAAAAGCUUGGAGAAUAUGUGGAAUCUGCAACAACCAAAGACAGUUGGAGGAUUUUUCACUUCAUAUUACAAAUCAAAAACCAACAGUCACUACUUCUUCGAUGAUUAGGAGGUUUUACCCGUAGGUGCAUUAUAUUUGUUUGGUUUACUGUUUCAUUAAAUUUUGGUUUAAUUAUCGAUGGCAAAACUUUAUUUAUCUGCUGGACCUAUUGUGAUUCUGUAGCUCCUAUAUUUAUAUACAAUGUUUCUUUUUAUAAUGGAAAUGGAAAAUCAAUGACCAAAUGAAUAUCUUUUGCCCAUAUACUGGAGUUUUGAAAGCCGUGGAAAAGAUCAUUGGCGCUGGUAUGGAGGUCCAAGAAAAGAAGGAAAUGCAUAUUCCAUACAACAUUCUUCCAUUGGAUGUUGCUGGGGCAUCACAGUCCAUCAUGCAGCUUGAGGAGGUUAAAGCUUCCGUGGCUGCUCUCUGGAACAUCAUGUCUUGCUUGGCCUUCUUCGUUUGAGCAGCAAAGACAAAAGGGAGGAGACUUGAACAUACUAGAUUGGCUUUGGGAAAUGUUCGGCUUUCAGAAAGACGUUGUUAGGAAUCAAAGGGAACAUGAUUCUAAUGCUUGCAAAUAGUCAUAUACGACUCCUACCCAAGGCUGAGCCCCUUAACAAGAACAAAAAGAUCAUUUAAGUGGAGCAGUUCACCUGUUAUCUAACCUGGGUCACAAUCGCAUAUAAAGCGGUGGUGUAAGUAGUGCUGAACUAUCACAAUCUGAGUGCUCGAAAUGGGCAAGGUGUGAUUGCAGCAGCCUUAUUUUUACAACGACAGCCAAGAAAAAUCUGAUUUAUAUGAGAAGAAGGAUUAGGUAGUAGGAAAUGGUGCAAAGUCAACCUCAAAACCAAACUGGCAUAGGCAGCCAAACUCGACUCGUGCCUAAUCCUGUGCUUACUCAUUCACAAUCAGAAAGAGGACGUUUAUAUCUAAGUUACAACAACAGCGAAGUUAUAUGCGAGGUCAGUAAGAAGAGAGUAGCAGAACACUAGGAAGGGACAGUUGAAGAAACAAAUUUUGGUGACUGUAAAAAGUCUAAAGCACAAAAUGUAAUUUCUUUUUAAUUUCUACCAUUUCAGAAUGUUUUCUCCCUUUGAUUGUGCUUAAGGCCAGAAACAAGUUAUGAUUGUGCUUUAGCCCCAAA
Papaver somniferum (opium poppy) is the source of this 2654-nucleotide RNA transcript. It is a transcript of the gene named protein CHROMOSOME TRANSMISSION FIDELITY 7-like, with no coding region annotated. The record is from RefSeq and is a predicted model, not a curated record. NCBI's taxonomy places the organism in Eukaryota, Viridiplantae, Streptophyta, Magnoliopsida, Ranunculales, Papaveraceae. The transcript has 7 exons.